UAGGGGUUGUAGAGUGUCUUGCUACAGUCAGAUAUAUCUGGACUAGGGGUUGUAGAGUGUCUUGCUACAGUCAGAUAUAUCUGGACUAGGGGUUGUAGGGUAAAUGAGGGGCUGUACUGUAGAGGCAGAGAGGAGAGAGCCUUUCCAAGGUUAUUGUCCCCACCCCCGCACUGCAGAUAGCAGCCUUUAACAGAUAAUGUAGGAAUUAAUUUGCCUCAUCGCCCAGAGAAACACAACAGAACAUUCAAAGUAAAUAAACGGAAAAUAUCACCUUGGAUCCGAAGAAGGUGAAUAGAUUUCAGGAUGGGGCGGAAUGAUACAAAAAUAAAAACUAUUGAAUAGCAAAGGUAUGGAGAAACAAUUAGAAGGAAAGCUAAUCAAACUCUAAAUGUCCUUUUGGAGGAAGCUGUUGGCUUGGAAUGGGGUGCCCUUGCAUGUUGCAAUAACAGUGGAGCAGCAGCAUCAUUCCCAGGUGGAGGUGUGUCUCUUCAUUUUAAGAACCCUUUCUCAAGGAAAUGGUAGACGUCUCUCUCUCUCUCGUCUCCUGAUGUUUGUUAUUUCUUCCUCCCCUGGUUCCCAACACUGGGGAGGCCUGUAAUUGGCCACGCUGUUUCAUAUCAAUACAGUUCACUGUAAAACAAUGUGAGAUUCUAGAUGUGUUUGAACUGGUUUUUAAAUUCUCUUUGUUUCUUCACGCCUGUUUUCCCCCAACUGUAUGCCAAUGUAAAGGAUGCAAGAUGUCUCCUCAGAAAUGAUGCCAUCUGCCAUUACGUUUAAAGCUUUUUAUGGAUGGUCUGAAUGUGUCUGCCAUCUCUGUCUUUUCCCCUCUCCCCUACUUUCCUAUUCUCUCCUUCACAAGGUGAUUACUGCUUCACCACAAUGCAUAGUGACGCAAAGGUCCUUCUCUUUCUGUCUCUCUCUCGCUGGUUUUGGAUUGGGCGCGUGUCUAUUGCUUCGGUGACUGUUCGGGCUUUUCUGCCUGUCUGCUUGACUUAGAGGGGCCCUGGUCAAAAGUAGUGCACUUUGUAGGGAAUAGGGUGCCAGACGAUGUCUCUGGUUUCUGCUACCUCAGCUUGCCUGGUGGAAGACUGUUGGGGAGGGUAUAUGGGGUGGGGUAGUAUAGGCUCAAGGGCUUUCUGUACAGAUUGACAAGAACAUUUGGUAUUUUGUUGGUUGCGAGUGACGUUACAGGGAUGAGGGUCAAUUGGGUAGGGAUGAACCGUCCAUAUGCUUGACUAUUGGAGGGGGGGGGGUGUAGUAACCCCUUCGCUUGUAAGAUUUCGGGGUUUCUAUGAAAAAAAACAUGUAAUUUGUUUAUUAAUUUCUAGUUGAAGUUGAUAAUGCCUGCCGUGUUUCGAGCUUUCGAACCGUUCGUUUUGUUUGAACGCUGCUUUCUUUGACAACCACAUGCCUUCUGUAUUCUUUAGUUUGUAGUCGUCGUCGUGUGGAGAUACUAUCAGAUACUGCAGCGGUGUAUUAAAAGGGUUUGACUGAAGAGCAGCGCUGACUUAGGACCACAGAUCAAUCAGAUGUCAGCGGGACGUCUGCCAGGUGUUUUAGUUCAGACUUCUAGAGCAGCUCCGGUGAAGAACCUGCGGUGCAUAAGAUGAACCCUGUUUUACAGUUGAAGAAGCAGUUCCAGUUAUGUACAUUCGUAGAUCAGUUCCAUGGGAAGUGCAACAUUGAAAUUCAAAGCCCUUUGAUUUGGAGAUCUGCCUACCGUCUAUGUGUUAACCCAAUACUUACUCUCUACUCUGGCCAAAGAGGGAUAUGAUAUCCAUUCUUGAAAGCCAGACUUUGACCACUUUGACUUAUCUCUUCUUUAUACAGCCUUUUGUUAACUAAUUACCACACGAUUUCAGCCAAAUACCUAUUUUUUUCAGUGCUUUAUAAACAGCAAGGAUUGUAAAAAUAGAACGCCAAUUUCAGGGGCAAAGGAAUUGAUUUGUUUCAUUGUCUCAUCUAUUGUCAUUGUAUGGUGUUGGUGUGCAACAACUUCAAAAAAUAAACCUUACAACGCAGAAUACCUCAGAAAAUAAACCCAUGUAAAGCUUGACAGCCUCCAUUGUGUUGUUAGUUCCUGUCCAUUUUGCCCCCUUGAUGCUCCACAAGCUUUUCCCCUUUUAUUUCCACUUUUAUCCCUCACACGGCAUGUAGCACAUAGUGGACGUGUCAUAGCUUCUUUUUUCUUGUUCUGGGGACUUUUUAAGACUGGUCUCUCAUUCAGUCCCUCCCUCUGAGCCAGAGAAAAAGAGAGAAGGAGAUCAUUGGGAGUGAAAGGAACACUAAUUCACAUUCUAGAAUUCAUUUGGGAUCACGUUUGAUCUUGAAAUCACAAAAGAGAAAAUAUCUUCGUCUAUAUCUACUGAUUUGAACUGGAGCUCGGUUUCCUCCUCUCUUCUCUUUAAUUCUUUUCAAACUAGAGAUGCUCAGAGGCCGAAGGUCAAUCUGUUAAAGCCCUAUAAUCCCCAUUCUUUCCUUUUGAAUACCUCUUUUCAUUUAUCAUCUGCAUUCUCAUCAUUAAAACUGAAUGUAACGACACAAACUAACCUCACGAUUCUAACUUGACAGAUGAAAGAAAAAUCAGAUACUAUAUAUGUACAUAUGUAUAACACAUGAAACACAAUGCAUUGUGUAUAUAUACAGAUCUCCUAAAGACAGAUACUUAUCUUGUGGAAAGGGAAAAACUCUUUUUCCUUUGUUUGAUUCAGGGAACAAAAGUCCAGUGCAGUAUGUUAGAUGUCACUCCCAUGCCCAUUGCUCCCUUUCUGACUGUAUGUUGCAUGUAUGUAGCAGUGGGCAGGGGGUGGCUGAGUUUAAACUAGUGGAGCUUUUAGAGUAGGUAGCUAGUCUUUUGAAACCUGAUUAUGUGAAGGGGGGGUGGGCUUUGUGAAAUGACACUGUAAAGACAGUAUAUUUAUGAAACAGGAGGAGGAGGAGGACCACAGAAAAAGCAGAAGGGGUGGAUGGGAAUGGCACUUCAUGGUCCCAUUAUAAUCUGUCCUUUAUCAGGUUAGGUGUAGCUUACGAUAUGUCAACUCCUGACGAAGGAAGGAAGGAAGGAAGGAAGGAAGGAAGGAAGGAAGGAAGGAAGGAAGGAAGGAAG
RNAcentral lists this long non-coding RNA (3106 nucleotides) under Salmo salar (Atlantic salmon). RNAcentral's name for it is "lncRNA (ENSSSAG00000109090.1)". The record is from RNAcentral. Lineage: Eukaryota; Metazoa; Chordata; Actinopteri; Salmoniformes; Salmonidae.